UACGUAGGCAGCGAGCGUUGUUCGGAAUUACUGGGCGUAAAGGGUGCGCAGGCCGCGCGGGCAGUCAAAUGUGUAAUUCAGGGGCUCAACCCCUGCACUGCGCUUGAUACUUCCGCGCUAGAACUUUGGAGAGGAGUCUGGAAUUCUCGGUGUAGCAGUGAAAUGCGUGGAUAUCGAGAAGAACACUAACGGCGUAAGCAAGACUCUGGACAAAUGUUGACGCUCAAGCACGAAGGCUAGGGUAGCGAACGGG
This 253-nucleotide ribosomal RNA is filed under the name uncultured bacterium. RNAcentral describes it as "partial 16S ribosomal RNA". It matches the Rfam family "Bacterial small subunit ribosomal RNA", at positions 524 to 776 of the family's 1533-position model. The record is from RNAcentral.